CAAUGGGGGGAACCCUGAUGCAGCGACGCCGCGUGGGUGAUGACGGCCUUCGGUUGUAAGCCCUUUUGCCAUUGACGAGAACGGACGGUAGAUGGCGAAUAAGCCUCGGCUAACUACGUGCCAGCAGCCGCGGUAAAACGUAGGAGGCGAGCGUUAUCCGGAGUUACUGGGCGUAAAGCGUGCGCAGGCGGUGCCAUAAGUCAGGUGUGAAAAGGUUCCGGCUCAACCGGGGAAAACGCGCUUGAGACUGUGGGACUAGAGUGGGAUAGAGGGACGUGGAAUUCCGGGUGGAGCGGUGAAAUGUGUAGAGAUCCGGAGGAACACCAGAGGCGCAAGCGGCGGUCCUGGGGUCCCAACUGACGCUGAGGCACGAAAGCUUGGGGAGCGAACGGGAUUAGAGACCCCCGGUAGUCCAAGCCGUAACGAUGCAGACUCGGUGUCCACUCUCGCAAGGGAGGGGGCGCCACAGCUAACGCGAUAAGUCUGCCGCCUGGGGAGUACGGUCGCAAGACUAAACU
RNAcentral lists this ribosomal RNA (518 nucleotides) under uncultured bacterium. RNAcentral describes it as "bacterial SSU rRNA". It matches the Rfam family "Bacterial small subunit ribosomal RNA", at positions 369 to 901 of the family's 1533-position model. The record is from RNAcentral.